Molecule: ribosomal RNA, 494 nt
Filed under: uncultured bacterium
Lineage: Bacteria
Description: partial 16S ribosomal RNA
Rfam family: Bacterial small subunit ribosomal RNA
Source: RNAcentral
GACGAACGCUGGCGGCGCGCUUAACACAUGCAAGUCGAACGGAAAGGCCUGCUUUCCCUUGUGGAUUGCGGGUACUCGAGUGGCGAACGGGUGAGUAACACGUGAGUGAUCUGCCCCCAACUUGGGUAUAAGCCUGGGAAACUGGGUCUAAUUCCCGAUAGGACUGCAGGGUGGUGCCUGUGGUGGAAAACGAUUUUCUAGUGGUUGGGGAUGAGCUCGCGGCCUAUCAGCUUGUUGGUGGGGUAAUGGCCUACCAAGGCGGCGACGGGUAGCCGGCCUGGGAGGGUGGACGGCAUCAUUGGGACUGAGAUACGGCCCAGACUCCUACGGGAGGCAGCAGUGGGGAAUAUUGCACCAUGGGCGGAAGCCUGAUGCAGCGACGCCGCGUGGGGGAUGACGGCCUUCGGGUUGUAAACUCCUUUCGACCGCGAGGAAGCCACCUGGUUGGAAGGGUGGUGACGGUAGUGGUAGAAGAAGCACCGGCUAACUACGUG